AUACGGAGGAUGCGAGCGUUAUCCGGAUUUAUUGGGUUUAAAGGGUGCGUAGGCGGUCGGGUAAGCGUAGGGUGAAAGUCCUCUGCUCAACAGAGGAAGUGCCUUCCGAACUGUCCGACUGGAAUGCUCCUGCCGUGGGAGGAAUGUGUGGUGGAGCGGUGAAAUGCAUAGAGAUCACACAGAACACCGAUUGCGAAGGCAUCUCACGAAGGGGCUAUUGACGCUGAGGCACGAAAGCGUGGGGAUCAAACAGGAUUAGAUACCCUGGUAGUCCACGCAGUAAACGAUGAUGACUAACCGUCGGUCAAGACUGAUCGGUGGCCAAGCGAAAGCGAUAAGUCAUCCACCUGGGGAGUACGACCGCAAGGUUGAAACUCAAAUGAAUUGACGGGG
Molecule: ribosomal RNA, 393 nt
Filed under: uncultured bacterium
Lineage: Bacteria
Description: partial 16S ribosomal RNA
Rfam family: Bacterial small subunit ribosomal RNA
Source: RNAcentral